RNAcentral lists this ribosomal RNA (433 nucleotides) under uncultured bacterium. Its description in RNAcentral is "partial 16S ribosomal RNA". It matches the Rfam family "Bacterial small subunit ribosomal RNA", at positions 29 to 507 of the family's 1533-position model. The record is from RNAcentral.
AACGAACGCUGGCGGCAUGCCUAACACAUGCAAGUCGAACGAGACCUUCGGGUCUAGUGGCGCACGGGUGCGUAACGCGUGGGAACCUGCCCUUAGGUUCGGAAUAACUCCCCGAAAGGGGUGCUAAUACCGGAUAAUGUCUUCGGACCAAAGAUUUAUCGCCUUUGGAUGGGCCCGCGUUGGAUUAGCUAGUUGGUAGGGUAAAAGCCUGCCAAGGCGACGUUCCAUGGCUGGUCUGAGAGGAUGAUCAGCCACACUGGGACUGAGACACGGCCCAGACUCCUACGGGAGGCAGCAGUGGGGAAUAUUGGACAAGGGGCGAAAGCCUGAUCCAGCAAUGCCGCGUAAGUGAUGAAGGCCUUAGGGUUGUAAAGCUCUUUUACCCGGGAUGAUAAUGACAGUACCGGGAGAAUAAGCACCGGCUAACUCCGUG